UUAAAUUGAUUUGAGGAUACAUACCAUCAAUUAUUUGCCAUGCUAUCAUAGAUGUAAUACAUUGUGCCACACAUUUGCAGUACAUAUAUAUUACAUAUUGCGAACAAAAAUACAGUGCUCUAUCUUGAAUCGAGAAAUCGAUGAAUUAACGAACAAGCUAGUGGCGGAUGCCGAUGGAGGUCGACGGUUUUGGGACGCAACAACAAGAGGAGACCCCACCAACAACCUUGCAUAUCCCAACAGCAUUCAACCCCAAGACGGCGCACGUCGCCCCACAUGACUGUUCGUUGCAGUUGUCAGAGUUUGAGCACUGCUCUCCUCCUAAGAGGGCACGACUGCCUUGGCUUGCUAGAACGGCCGAGGCAAGGAGUGCCAUCAGCAGCGGAACAAUAACAAUGGCGAGGGUCUUCUUGGAACACGCCAUGAAGCUCUAGUAUAGGCUUCCGUAAGUAGAGGCUAGUUGGUCCCUGUUGAUGCUCAGAUGCUUUGUGAUUGUUCGCUUGUAGGGAAUUGAGUGCCGCUAUGCUUGUCGUCCUUUUCUUAUAUAGGCUUGAGCCAUAACCAAAUUAAUUUGAGCAAUCAAUUUCUAACAUUUUUUUCCAUAAAAAAUAUCAUACCUUGAUAUUUUUACUCAUAGCACCAAUAUCCUCUAAUAUAUUUUGCCCACUCAAUAUUUAUAAUAUUGGUAGCUAUUUAAAUAAUAUAUUCUCAAAUUCACAUUUUUCUUGCUAAGUAAGCAUAAGCUGCCUAAUAAUAUCCUAUCUAUUUUGAUCCAUGCCAAUCAAAUUUGUAAUGAUAUAGAGUCACUCGAAAACAAUAUACCAUGCAUAGGCACUUAUUUGCUGCUAAUACAUCAUAUCAAAUUUUAUUAUUGAUAAUAUUAUAUUGAUCGUAAUUAACAGCAUUUUAACACGAUUUUAGGGUCUGGUUGGAUGCAACCAGAUAGUAGUUAUUAGUUGCUAAAAAUUAGUUGUGGUGGAUCCAAAUUGACAAGGGUAUUUGGUUAGCUAACUUUUAGAUGGACACCAAGCUAAGAACUAUCCUGUUACGUAAGCACACCACACUAGCUAAUAGCAUCUAAUUAAUGGUCAGUUGAGUAAAAGUCCGUCCCCCCAGAUCUUGGAGGUGGUUGAGGAGUUUUUACCUCAGAUGAAUUUGUAGAAGGAAAGAUUAAUUUUGAUGUGUUUGAUCUUCUCGACAGGUUCAACUGAUCCACUCUAAAGCACACUAGAGCAUGCUAUAGAUUAGUCGCAACUUGAGCCUAUGCCUGCUUCUCCAGCAACAUGGAAAUCUUGUCAAGAAGAUCAUCGACCAAAGGCUUCAUGCACAUAGGAUUGAUUGGAUCAGUCGAACCAUAUUGCUUAUCGUCGGCCAUAGUAGUCCAUACGUUUGCAUUCUUCCCUAGCAAAGUUGAUGAAAGGUGUGUCGAUGUGAAUUCCGGUCACACUAGCAUGAGCUUGAUCAUCCGGGCUGCACUUGUCCAAGACACGCAAUGGAAAUGGAUCUAAAUUGUGAUGCCAUCUAGCUUUUUGGAGAGGCCGAUUCAAUGCUAGUUCUUUGCCAAAAAGACCCACGAAUCCUGCCUAGGGUGACCAUCUACAAAUUGAACAACGGGGGUGCCAUAAAAUCGUCAUGGCCACCUAGGAUGUCGUCAGAUCUCAUAGGGACAUGCCCUAGACAUCAAGGAGUCUGGGAGAGGUUUAGGUAAAAAAAGGUAAAAAGUUUAAUAGAUUACUUUUGUCGAUUGGAUAGAUGUCUCAAUCGCCCGUGAUACCCUUAGUAGGAAACAUAUUCUACACACACUUUUCCCAUUUGCUAGUAGAUUAACGAAGGAUUUUCCAACAAGGAAACCUUGAGUUGUCACUGGGAUAUGCUGCAAAGUUGUAUGUCCUAGAGGUUAUGAUUAACUGUGAGGUUUUGGUCUCAUCAUCCCUAUUACAAAAUAGAUCAACAUCUACAUCUAUAUGUGCCAACUAUCGCAUUGUCACUCGAUCUAGAGCCCUCUGUAGGAGCUGCAUCUCCUUAUAUCACAUUUCUAGCACCCUAACUAUCAUGGACGUGAUACUUGUGGCCUCUCUAGCUGUACUAGCGGUGCCAAAAAUAGCAAUAUGUGCACACUGGUUAGGAGGAUUGGAAAAUGUUGGGCCACCAAGCCCAUACACCGUACAUCACACUCUAAUAGGAAGCACAACAUAUCCAAAUGCUUGUCACCAAUUUUUGGGAAUUGAGUUGAAAAGGUUAAAACAAGGCAGGAUGAGAAUUCAUCAAGCAUGUCAUCAAAAUGUGAAGUUUUGCGUGACCAAGUCUUCUGUAUUAAAUUGAUUUGAGGAUACAUACCAUCAAUUAUUUGCCAUGCUAGCAUAGAUGUAAUACAUUGUGCCACACAUUUGCAGUACAUAUAUAUUACAUAUUGCGAACAAAAAUACAGUUCUCUAUCUUGAAUCGAGAAAUCGAUGAAUUAACAAACAAGCUAGUGGCGGAUGCUGAUGGAGGUCGACGGUUUUGGGACGCAACAACAAGAGGAGACCCCACCAACAACCUUGCAUAUCCCAACAGCAUUCAACCCCAAGACGGCGCACGUCGCCCCACAUGACUGUUCGUUGCAGUUGUCAGAGUUUGAGCACUGCUCUCCUCCUAAGAGGGCACGACUGCCUUGGCUUGCUAGAACGGCCGAGGCAAGGAGUGCCAUCAGCAGCGGACAAUAACAAUGGCGAGGGUCUUCUUGGAACACGCCAUGAAGCUCUAGUAUAGGCUUCCGUAAGUAGAGGCUAGUUGGUCCCUUGUUGAUGCUCAGAUGCUUUGUGAUUGUUCGCUUGUAGGGAAUUGAGUGCCGCUAUGCUUGUCGUCCUUUUCUUAUAUAGGCUUGAGCCAUAACCAAAUUAAUUUGAGCAAUCAAUUUCUAACAUUUUUUCCAUAAAAAAU
RNAcentral lists this long non-coding RNA (2922 nucleotides) under Sorghum bicolor (sorghum). Its description in RNAcentral is "long non-coding RNA (SBIC_LNC007878)". The record is from RNAcentral. Lineage: Eukaryota; Viridiplantae; Streptophyta; Magnoliopsida; Poales; Poaceae.